RNAcentral lists this ribosomal RNA (461 nucleotides) under Streptococcus mitis. RNAcentral describes it as "bacterial SSU rRNA". It matches the Rfam family "Bacterial small subunit ribosomal RNA", at positions 28 to 473 of the family's 1533-position model. Lineage: Bacteria; Bacillati; Bacillota; Bacilli; Lactobacillales; Streptococcaceae. The record is from RNAcentral.
GACGAACGCUGGCGGCGUGCCUAAUACAUGCAAGUAGAACGCUGAAGGAGGAGCUUGCUUCUCUGGAUGAGUUGCGAACGGGUGAGUAACGCGCAGGUAACCUGCCUGGUAGCGGGGGAUAACUAUUGGAAACGAUAGCUAAUACCGCAUAAGAGUAGAUGUUGCAUGACAUUUGCUUAAAAGGUGCAAUUGCAUCACUACCAGAUGGACCUGCGUUGUAUUAGCUAGUUGGUGAGGUAACGGCUCACCAAGGCAACGAUACAUAGCCGACCUGAGAGGGUGAUCGGCCACACUGGGACUGAGACACGGCCCAGACUCCUACGGGAGGCAGCAGUAGGGAAUCUUCGGCAAUGGACGGAAGUCUGACCGAGCAACGCCGCGUGAGUGAAGAAGGUUUUCGGAUCGUAAAGCUCUGUUGUAAGAGAAGAACGAGUGUGAGAGUGGAAAGUUCACACUGUGAC